This 116-nucleotide ribosomal RNA is filed under the name Esox lucius (northern pike). Lineage: Eukaryota; Metazoa; Chordata; Actinopteri; Esociformes; Esocidae. The record is from RNAcentral.
GCUUACGGCCAUACCAGCCUGAAUACGCCCGAUCUCGUCCGAUCUCGAAGCUAAGCAGGGGUCGGCCUGGUUAGUACUUGGAUGGAGACCGCCUGGGAAUACCAGUGCUGUAAGCU